CACACAGCUCAGUAACACGUGGCUAAUCUGCCCUUGGGACCGGAACACCCCCGGGAAACUGGGGCUAAUUCUCGAUAGGUGAAGAACUCUGGAAUGAGUCUUCGCUUAAAAGACGUUUACGUUAUGCUCGUAGGCGUCGCCCAAGGAUGAGGCCGCGACCGAUCAGGUUGUUGGUGAGGUAAUGGCUCACCAAGCCUUUUACCGGUGCGGGCCGUGAGAGCGGGAGCCCGGAGAUGGGCACUGAGACAAGGGCCCAGGCCCUACGGGGCGCAGCAGUCGCGAAAACUUUGCAAUACACGAAAGUGUGACAGGGCUAUCCCGAGUGCCAUCCGCUGAGGAAGGCUUUUACCCAGUCUAGAACGCUGGGGGAAUAAGGAGAGGGCAAGUCUGGUGUCAGCCGCCGCGGUAAUACCAGCUCUCCGAGUGGUGUGGAUGUUUAUUGGGCCUAAAGCAUCCGUAGCUGGCUAAGUUAGUCCCUUGUUAAAUCCACCGAAUUAAUCGUUGGAUUGCGGGGGAUACUGCUUGGCUAGGGGACGAGAGAGGCAGACGGUAUUUCCGGGGUAGGGGUGAAAUCCUAUAAUCCCGGGAAGACCACCAGUGGCGAAGGCUGUCUGCUAGAACGCACCCGACGGUGAGGGAUGAAAGCUGGGGGAGCGAACC
RNAcentral lists this ribosomal RNA (660 nucleotides) under uncultured archaeon. RNAcentral's name for it is "bacterial SSU rRNA". It matches the Rfam family "Archaeal small subunit ribosomal RNA", at positions 82 to 725 of the family's 1478-position model. The record is from RNAcentral.